AGAGUUUGAUCCUGGCUCAGAUUGAACGCUGGCGGCAGGCUUAACACAUGCAAGUCGAGCGGGGAUGAGGUGCUUGCACCUUAUCUUAGCGGCGGACGGGUGAGUAAUGCUUAGGAAUCUGCCAUUUAGUGGGGGACAACAUUCCGAAAGGAAUGCUAAUACCGCAUACGUCCUACGGGAGAAAGCAGGGGAUCUUCGGACCUUGCGCUAAAUGAUGAGCCUAAGUCGGAUUAGCUAGUUGGUGGGGUAAAGGCCUACCAAGGCGACGAUCUGUAGCGGGUCUGAGAGGAUGAUCCGCCACACUGGGACUGAGACACGGCCCAGACUCCUACGGGAGGCAGCAGUGGGGAAUAUUGGACAAUGGGCGGAAGCCUGAUCCAGCCAUGCCGCGUGUGUGAAGAAGGCCUUUUGGUUGUAAAGCACUUUAAGCGAGGAGGAGGCUACUAGUACUAAUACUACUGGAUAGUGGACGUACUCGCAGAA
This 483-nucleotide ribosomal RNA is filed under the name Acinetobacter sp. AKB-2008-HE139. RNAcentral describes it as "bacterial SSU rRNA". It matches the Rfam family "Bacterial small subunit ribosomal RNA", at positions 8 to 486 of the family's 1533-position model. RNAcentral also lists the same sequence under 1 other name. Lineage: Bacteria; Pseudomonadati; Pseudomonadota; Gammaproteobacteria; Moraxellales; Moraxellaceae. The record is from RNAcentral.